Molecule: ribosomal RNA, 433 nt
Filed under: uncultured bacterium
Lineage: Bacteria
Description: partial 16S ribosomal RNA
Rfam family: Bacterial small subunit ribosomal RNA
Source: RNAcentral
AACGAACGCUGGCGGCAUGCCUAACACAUGCAAGUCGAACGAGACCUUCGGGUCUAGUGGCGCACGGGUGCGUAACGCGUGGGAACCUGCCCUUAGGUUCGGAAUAACUCCCCGAAAGGGGUGCUAAUACCGGCUAAUGUCUUCGGACCAAAGAUUUGUCGCCUUUGGAUGGGCCCGCGUGGGAUUAGCUAGUUGGUAGGGUAAAAGCCUACCAAGGCGACGAUCCAUAGCUGGUCUGAGAGGAUGGUCAGCCACACUGGGACUGAGACACGGCCGAGACUCCUACGGGAUGCAGCAGUGGCGAAUAUUGGACAAUGGGCGAAAGCCUGAUCCAGCAAUGCCGCGUGAGUGAUGAAGGCCUUAGGGUUGUAAAGCUCUUUUACCCGUUAUUAUAAUGACAGUACCGGGAGAAUAAGCUCCGGCUAACUCCGUG